This 253-nucleotide ribosomal RNA is filed under the name uncultured bacterium. RNAcentral's name for it is "partial 16S ribosomal RNA". It matches the Rfam family "Bacterial small subunit ribosomal RNA", at positions 524 to 776 of the family's 1533-position model. The record is from RNAcentral.
UACAGAGGUCCCAAGCGUUAAUCGGAAUUACUGGGCGUAAAGCGUGCGCAGGCGGUUCGUGAUGUCUGGUGUGAAAGCCCCGGGCUUAACCUGGGAAUUGCAUUGGAAACUAGCGGGCUGGAGUGUGGCAGAGGGGGGUGGAAUUCCACGUGUAGCAGUGAAAUGCGUAGAGAUGUGGAGGAACACCGAUGGCGAAGGCAGCCCCCUGGGCUAACACUGACGCUCAUGCACGAAAGCGUGGGGAGCAAACAGG